Molecule: long non-coding RNA, 1218 nt
Organism: Gallus gallus (chicken)
Lineage: Eukaryota; Metazoa; Chordata; Aves; Galliformes; Phasianidae
Source: Ensembl
AUCUCCAGCUGGAGAUCCUUCCUCUUGGAGCCCUUCUAUGAGCCCAGGACACUGUAUUGGGAUCUCCAUUCAACAUCCUAAGUUUGGCACUUCUAGUUUUUCAAGACCGUAGUGGAUUAUAUCCCCCUGUUCUGCAACAGAAAUCUCAUGGGAGGGAACCUCAUUCCCGUGAACUCUUCUUGUCCUCAUGCUGUCCAUCAGCAGUGGGUCGUGAAAGAAUAUUUCAGGAAGAAUAGCAACUGAGGGACAGUAACAAAGCCAAAAGAGCAGGAGAUCCUGUAAAGUGCAGGCUUGAAUGAGUAUGUAGUUAAGCUUAUCUUUGGGUCCCUUGCCUCCUUCCUUUAUGAGGAUAAUAGGCCUGGAUGCCAAAGUAAUUUUGAAAUCAGAAUUGUGAGUGAAAGGAAGAAGAGAUGAAGUCUUUGAGAAAGAAAGAAAAAUGUGGUGUCCGGUGAAAUGUACAUCCUAACCAUCAGAAAAUUUUCGUUAAAGUAGUUAGAAAAUAGAAAAAAGAAACAAAAUGUUGCCACUUUCAUACUCCUGAGACUUCUAGGAUUUUCUUUGUGAUGACUCCCCGGCUGCUAACGCAAACUGCCUGAAGGUUCACUUUUGGUAUUUUACCUCGUGGUCAUGUCUAGAAGAUGCUCCAUCAAAAUAAAAUUUUAUCCUUUUCAGAAGUUUAUGAAGCAAAGAAUUGGAACAGCUUGAAACACACAAAGUAUUCUAACAUCACUCAGUAGUUCAGAUACAAACCUGAAAUACGUUAAGUAAUAAUAGGGCAUUGACAUUUACCACUUGAAAGGGUAUCUGCUAUGCAAAUCAGAUUUCCUACAGGACAGAAAAGAUUAAAACCAAAUAAAUUUUCCUCCUGGAACUUCCCCAAGUAAAAUUCACAUAGUUUCUAAGAAUAUGAUUGAAGGUGAAGACCCUGAACAUCAGUCAGUAGAAGAUAACCACUGUCAGUCUUCAAAGGGCAUCAUUUACGGAAAAUGAUUGAGGAAAUACCAGCAUAUAGCUCUUCUAUUUCAUUCUCAUAAUUGCGUUGCUAGUGUUUAUUUGCUAUUACUGUGUGAAAGAAUUCCUGAAGCCAAAUAUCAAUUUAUUUGAGAUCUGAGUUUAAGAGGGUACCAAACAGGAGUGAUUUACGUUCACUUAAAGUCGAUUUUAUAUUUUUUUCAGCUGUGUAUAGGUUGGCUGACUAAAACUAAAUUUAAAUGAUUC